Molecule: non-coding RNA, 218 nt
Organism: Lepisosteus oculatus (spotted gar)
Lineage: Eukaryota; Metazoa; Chordata; Actinopteri; Semionotiformes; Lepisosteidae
Source: RefSeq, a predicted model, not a curated record
UGUCUACGAGGAAAUAGAGUACAAACUGGCUAGAGAGGGAACCUACAGCGCCCCCAGGAGAGGGAGAUUCCUCUCUGACGAGCUGCCCUCUGGAUACGAUGAUGUGGAGGACAGUGAGGGAGACCCAAUACCAGGAGACUCAAUAGCUUCUGUGGAAGAAGAGAUCCCAGAGUACUAUGAUGAUGCAGUCACUGUACCUCAGAGUCCACACGCCUUGU